CCGUGCCCUCCAGACAAGCAGGGGUCAGCACCGUGCCCUCCAGACAAGCAGGGGGCAGCACCGUGCCCUCCAGACAAGCAGGGGGCAGCACCGUGCCCUCCAGACAAGCAGGGGGCAGCACCGUGCCCGCCAGACAAGCAGGGGGCAGCACCGUGCCCGCCAGACAAGCAGGGGGCAGCACCGUGCCCUCCAGACAAGCAGGGGGCAGCACCGUGCCCUCCAGACAAGCAGGGGGCAGCACCGUGCCCUCCAGACAAGCAGGGGGCAGCACCGUGCCCGCCAGACAAGCAGGGGGCAGCACCGUGCCCGCCAGACAAGCAGGGGGCAGCACCGUGCCCUCCAGACAAGCAGGGGGCAGCACCGUGCCAUUCGCUCUCUCGGCGUGAAGGAGACGUGGUGGGGGGGAAGAGAGAGAGAGAGAGAGAGAGAGAGAGAGAGAGAGAGAGAGAGAGAGAGAGAGAGAGAGAGAGAGAGAGAGAGAGAGAGAGAGAGAGAUUUACAUAGAUUUACAUAGAAAAUCAGACCACACAGACCCCAUGGUCCAGACUAGGUGGUCUGUCCUUAAACCUAAGUGAUUUUACAUUAAUCAGAUGGCUCCAAAACGUUGCAUUUCUUCUCUAGUUGAUAUUAAGUUGAGAGAGAGAGAGAGAGAGAGAGAGAGAGAGAGAGAGAGAGAGAGAGAGAGAGAGAGAGAGAGAGAGAGAGACGUUUGGUAGAACAAAAAGCAUUAGGAACAUGAUCUCAAAUUUACGAAGAUUCCCGUACACACACACACACACACACACACACACACACACACACACACACACACACACACACACACACACACAGACACACACACACACACACACACACACACACACACACACACACACACACACACACACACACACACACACACACACACACACACACACACACACACACACACACACACACACACGCAAAGAACAUUUUCCUGGACCGUAAAUUUUUUCCAAACGGCUCCAAGCAAUAGCUAUAUUUUAUUGUUUUGUUGUUUGUUUGUUGUUUUUGGUGAUGGCGAGGAGGAGGAGGAGGAGGAGGAGGAAGAGGAGGAGGAGGAGGGGAAGGAAGGAGGAAGAGUGAACAUGAAGUAAAUCUCUAAGCGGGUUUUGUUGAUUCAAUAAUUUCCUUUCUUUUUUAUACUUUUUUUACUUUUUUGCGUCAUAUUUCUGGUGCCAGUGUUCACUUUUUUGCGUCAUAUUUCUGGUGCCAGUGUUCACUUUUUUGCGUCAUAUUUCUGGUGCCAGUGUUCACUUUUUUGCGUCAUAUUUCUGGUGCCAGUGUUCACUUUUUUGCGUCAUAUUUCUGGUGCCAGUGUUCACUUUUUUGGGUCAUAUUUCUGGUGCCAGUGUUCACUUUUUUGCGUCAUAUUUCUGGUGCCAGUGUUCACUUUUUUGCGUCAUAUUUCUGGUGCCAGUGUUCACUUUCAGCUUGUUGCGUGUUUUCCCUCCGUGAUUGUUCCUGCCAAGGGCUCGUCUUAUUAUUAGGUUUUUCAAUUAAAUCAUGUUUUUUUUCUUACUUCAGUCAGCUUCAUUUUUUCAUUAUUUUUUUUGUUUCAUUGCGAUGAUUUUCUUUUGGCUUAUAUCCAUCCCACGUAUGUCACCAUGUUAAAACUUCCCCACAGUAUUGUUCGCCACACACUCCAGUUAGCCUGUUACACAUAUCCUACGUGUGUCAC
This is a long non-coding RNA of Eriocheir sinensis (Chinese mitten crab), 1702 nucleotides long. RefSeq lists it as uncharacterized. Lineage: Eukaryota; Metazoa; Arthropoda; Malacostraca; Decapoda; Varunidae. The transcript is spliced from 2 exons. The record is from RefSeq and is a predicted model, not a curated record.